GAGUUGGAAAUUUAAAUAUAGAGUUGUUUCAACUCAUUUUAAGUGUCAUUCAACUCCAAGAUAGUUAUUAUUCAAAACGAGUUGGUGUUGAAACAGGGAGUCAAUUGUUGAAUUCUCCAAACAACUCUAGAGUGUUGAUUUAAUUACAUAGCCAGUGUUACAAUCUCUCUUUCUGUGGAUCACUGGCUGUUGCUCUGUUGGGUGUGGCCGUGACUGUGAAUGUGUGUGCGCGCAGUCGAGGCGGGAGACCAAAUCGGAGGAGCAUACCACCACAUUCUAUUUGGAGGAUAAACUGACCAAAGUGACACCAUGUUGGUGAAAGUAAGAUAUGGCGAAAGCCAGAAAUAUGUGAAAGUGUCUGAGACUGAAGAAGGCUAUGAAAGCUACAGUACAUUUCUUCAGAAAGUCAUAGAAAAGUUAGGUUUACCACUACAGAGUGAGCUGCACUUGACUGAUGAAUCAGGGACAGAGGUGGAUGCAGAUGUCUUUGAAGAGCUUUUACAAGCAGGGAACCUUACAGUCAAAGUGUCCACAGGACAGU
Gymnodraco acuticeps is the source of this 541-nucleotide long non-coding RNA. RefSeq lists it as uncharacterized. Lineage: Eukaryota; Metazoa; Chordata; Actinopteri; Perciformes; Bathydraconidae. The transcript is spliced from 3 exons. The record is from RefSeq and is a predicted model, not a curated record.